CUUCUCUCCCUCUCUCACAUGUUUCUUUCACUCGUUUGUCUUUUCCUUCUCAUUUACAAGCUUCGGUUCGUUCUAGCAUCUCCAUAGGGUCUGCGCCUAUCCAUCUUCGACAAGUUUCUUCUUCAUCUCCAUCAGCAUCCUCGUCUUCAUCUCCACUGUCAUGCUCGUCUCCUACGUUUGCAUUCGCAUCAAAUACACCCACUUUCGCCCCGCAUUUGCCCUAGACCCUUUGUCUCUCUCCCCUCUCCUACCGCUGAUAAUGUGGUGGUUCUCAUGGUUGGAUUGGACGACUCCAACAUCGAAUUGUACCCUAAAAUGGUCUUCAGAAAGAGUUGUCAUCUUUUCGCUUCUGACCACGACCAUUGCUUCAUUUUCCUUUCCGAUUACAAGCCCUAUGGUUCGCUCUGUUACAUUCCCAAUUGUCACCAUUGUUUGGACUCUGAUUACAUCGAUGGAUGGCUUCUCAUAUGAGCGCUACUUGCCCCUUGUGCCGAAAUUCCCCUGUUCCAACCCUUGUUGCUACUCCUCUUUUUAAGUUUGUGCCUCUAGCUUCCAAAGCUAAGUAAUCUUCUUCUUCCCCUUCACUAUAUUUUUAGGGUCAAAGUUUACGAUUUUUCUCUGUGAAUUUGUGUUUGUGUUUACAUUGGGCUAUUAGUUUCUAGUAGAUAAUGGGAACUUCUUGGAUUAUCUCUGGUAUCUGUGUCUGUGUUUAGUCAUGUAAAGUUGGAAAAGUUUAUAAUUAAUCUUGACUCAUAUGCUUAAUUUUGUGUCUAAUAAAUUAAUAUCAUCAGUUUUUUAACACUUACCUCUCAUAAAAGGGUAUAAUUGAAGAGCAUGUACUUGAAUUUUUGUUAUAAUCUUUCUUUAGCGACGUGUCAAGUGAGUUUUAUCGGAGAUUGGAUGUAGUUUAGGUGGAUGAGAGAAGUGGUGGGAGGUAAACUUUCAUCACUUUCGACUUUGAGGUUUAAAAAUUGAUUUUCAUCAUUGCAUUCAAUGCUUUGUUUUCGCAGGCUAUGGGGCUACAAAAGCUAAUUCUAGCUUAAAUUAAUAUUUAAUUGUUGGAUGAAGAACUGGGGAAUUUUUCUUCUCUUGUUAUUAAAUGUUAGUCACAACAAACUUUCUAAGUUACCAGCUGUAAUUGGAGAGACAGUUUUGGUUUAUUAUUUUUCCUUUCUCAUUUCUUAAACAAAAUUUUAAGAUGGUUGCAUUUUGGUAAUAAUUAUGUUGUUAUUAAUUCACUUUUGCAGGCUUCUUGGAGAGUGAGUAAAUAUCUGUGAUGUUUUCUAGAAUGUCCUGCGAGUACUUUCAAGAAUAUCAGUGGACCUGAUAGAGCUCUUUGUCGACAAUGCACCCAUGAUGAGCUUCAAUAUCGUGCCAUUUAUGUAUGUAUUCGAGCAUUGGUGCUUAGUGUUACAUGGAUGAAAUUUGUCGGGGUGGAUGACCUACCUGGCUCUGUGCCCACUCAAGAUGGAUCUCAAAUUGAUCAUUCCUUUCCUUUCAUUUCCUAAAGUCAUUAAAUGAGGUCUUGGAAACAAAUAAAGUUGAGGAGUCUUAAAGUCAUGUAUAUGGAAUAUACUUUACAAGUCCAAACACCUUUAGUGAACCCUAACAUCUUUAACACUCGCCUUUAGAACAACUAAAAGAAACUAUGUAAGUAACAAGGAUUUAUUGCUUUAAUGCAUUUCGUUGAUGUCAACAUAUCUACUUUAUAUUACUUUGUGUUUAGCUACGACUACCUAUGAGAAAUGACUGCUUAUCUAAAACUUGUCUAUAAGCAUGUGUUUGUUCCUAGAUUAACACUUGAGUUACUCUAUUUUGAUAUUCAGAUAUGAGAGUACAUUUAA
Molecule: RNA transcript, 1844 nt
Organism: Benincasa hispida (wax gourd)
Lineage: Eukaryota; Viridiplantae; Streptophyta; Magnoliopsida; Cucurbitales; Cucurbitaceae
Gene name: RING-H2 finger protein ATL70-like
Source: RefSeq, a predicted model, not a curated record